GAUGAACGCUGGCGGCGUGCCUAAUACAUGCAAGUCGAGCGGACAGACGAGGAGCUUGCUCCUCUUACGUUAGCGGCGGACAGGUGAGUAACACGUGGAUAACCUACCUAUAAUACUGGGAUAACUUCGGUAAACCUGAGCUAAUACCGGAUAAUAUAUUGAACCGCAUGGUUCAAUAGUGAAAUGCGGUUUUGCUGUCACUUAUAGAUGGAUCCGCGCCGCUUUAGCUAGUUGGUAAGGUAACGGCUUACCAAGGCAGCGAUGCGUAGCCGACGUGAGAGGGUGAUCGCCCACACGAGAACUGAACCGGGGACAAGAGUCCUACGGGAGGGACCAGUCGGGAACCUUACGCAACGGGCGAGAGUAUGACGGAACACGCGCGAGCGUGAGAUGACGGUGUUGGGAUCGUAAAACUCUGUUAUUAGGGAAGAACCAAUGUGUAAGUAACUAUGCCCGUCUUGACGGUACCUAAUCAGAAAGCAACGGCUAACUACGUG
This 497-nucleotide ribosomal RNA is filed under the name uncultured bacterium. RNAcentral describes it as "partial 16S ribosomal RNA". It matches the Rfam family "Bacterial small subunit ribosomal RNA", at positions 28 to 507 of the family's 1533-position model. The record is from RNAcentral.